This is a long non-coding RNA of Actinia tenebrosa (Australian red waratah sea anemone), 230 nucleotides long. The record is from RefSeq and is a predicted model, not a curated record. Lineage: Eukaryota; Metazoa; Cnidaria; Anthozoa; Actiniaria; Actiniidae.
CAUAUUGACCAGUUGACAAGAACACAGUUGAAAACUUUCUGUACAAAUUACGGCAAAAUGAAAAUAGAAGAAGUUAAAAGUACGACUAAAACACAACGUAUAGCUGUACAUAGYCAUAUUAAAGGCCUUGGGCUGGACGAAAAUGGCUUCGCUUUGUCAAUGGCGUCGGGWUUGGUUGGACAAGAGAAUGCACGUGAGAGUGCUGGGGUUAUUGUAGAGAUGAUCAAAAC